This 74-nucleotide transfer RNA is filed under the name Stereum hirsutum FP-91666 SS1. RNAcentral's name for it is "tRNA-Val (TAC) (tRNA-Val-TAC-4-1)". It matches the Rfam family "tRNA". From Rfam's summary of the family: Transfer RNA (tRNA) molecules are approximately 80 nucleotides in length. Lineage: Eukaryota; Fungi; Basidiomycota; Agaricomycetes; Russulales; Stereaceae. The record is from RNAcentral.
GCCCACCUAGCUCAAUCGGAUAGAGCGUCAGACAUACAAUCUGAAGGCUGCGAGUUCGAGUCUCGCGGUAGGCG